AAUGAACGCUGGCGGCGUGCUUUACACAUGCAAGUUGAGCGAGGCCACCCGCAAGGGUGAGUCGAGCGGCGAACGGGUGAGUAACGCGUGGAUGACCUGCCCUUUAGUGGGGAAUAACCCGGGGAAACUCGGGCUAAUACCGCAUAAGACCGAGAGGUGAAAGCGGGGUCGCAAGAUCUCGUGCUAAUGGAGGGGUCCGCGUUCGAUUAGCUAGUUGGUAGGGUAAUGGCCUACCAAGGCGACGANCGAUAGCCGGCCUGAGAGGGUGAUCGGCCACACUGGAACUGAGACACGGUCCAGACUCCUACGGGAGGCAGCAGUGGGGAAUCUUGCGCAAUGGGCGAAAGCCUGACGCAGCGACGCCGCGUGAGGGAUGACGGCCUUCGGUUG
RNAcentral lists this ribosomal RNA (390 nucleotides) under uncultured bacterium. RNAcentral describes it as "bacterial SSU rRNA". It matches the Rfam family "Bacterial small subunit ribosomal RNA", at positions 29 to 425 of the family's 1533-position model. The record is from RNAcentral.